CACGUAAGGUGCGAGCGUUGUUCGGAAUUAUUGGGCGUAAAGGGCUCGUAGGCGGUUUGCCAAGUCUCUCGUGAAAACCCGGGGCUCAACCCCGGAUCCGCGAGGGAAACUGGCAGGCUAGAAUCUUAGAGGGGGUACUGGAAUUCUUGGUGUAGGGGUGGAAUCCGUUGAUAUCAGGAAGAACACCGGAGGCGAAGGCGAGUACCUGGACAAAGAUUGACGCUGAUGAGCGAAAGCGUAGGUAGCAAACAGG
Molecule: ribosomal RNA, 253 nt
Filed under: uncultured bacterium
Lineage: Bacteria
Description: partial 16S ribosomal RNA
Rfam family: Bacterial small subunit ribosomal RNA
Source: RNAcentral